AGCUUGCUCCUUUGACGUUAGCGGCGGACGGGUGAGUAACACGUGGAUAACCUACCUAUAAGACUGGGAUAACUUCGGGAAACCGGAGCUAAUACCGGAUAACAUAUUGAACCGCAUGGUUCAAUAGUGAAAGGCGGCUUUGCUGUCACUUAUAGAUGGAUCCGCGCCGUAUUAGCUAGUUGGUAAGGUAACGGCUUACCAAGGCAACGAUACGUAGCCGACCUGAGAGGGUGAUCGGCCACACUGGAACUGAGACACGGUCCAGACUCCUACGGGAGGCAGCAGUAGGGAAUCUUCCGCAAUGGGCGAAAGCCUGACGGAGCAACGCCGCGUGAGUGAUGAAGGUCUUCGGAUCGUAAAACUCUGUUAUCAGGGAAGAACAAAUGUGUAAGUAACUGUGCACAUCUUGACGGUACCUGAUCAGAAAGCCACGGCUAACUACGUGCCAGCAGCCGCGGUAAUACGUAGGUGGCAAGCGUUAUCCGGAAUUAUUGGGCGUAAAGCGCGCGUAGGCGGUUUUUUAAGUCUGAUGUGAAAGCCCACGGCUCAACCGUGGAGGGUCAUUGGAAACUGGAAAACUUGAGUGCAGAAGAGGAAAGUGGAAUUCCAUGUGUAGCGGUGAAAUGCGCAGAGAUAUGGAGGAACACCAGUGGCGAAGGCGACUUUCUGGUCUGUAACUGACGCUGAUGUGCGAAAGCGUGGGGAUCAAACAGGAUUAGAUACCCUGGUAGUCCACGCCGUAAACGAUGAGUGCUAAGUGUUAGGGGGUUUCCGCCCCUUAGUGCUGCAGCUAACGCAUUAAGCACUCCGCCUGGGGAGUACGACCGCAAGGUUGAAACUCAAGGAAUUGACGGGGACCCGCACAAGCGGUGGAGCAUGUGGUUUAAUUCGAAGCAACGCGAGAACCUUACCAAAUCUUGACAUCCUUUGACCGCUCUAGAGAUAGAGU
RNAcentral lists this ribosomal RNA (949 nucleotides) under Staphylococcus pasteuri. Its description in RNAcentral is "bacterial SSU rRNA". It matches the Rfam family "Bacterial small subunit ribosomal RNA", at positions 77 to 1012 of the family's 1533-position model. Lineage: Bacteria; Bacillati; Bacillota; Bacilli; Caryophanales; Staphylococcaceae. The record is from RNAcentral.